AAGUUUGUACUGUCUGUGGCUUGUUGAAAUUAUUUGCAUUUCUUUUUAUAGUGACUCAAACUUAAUUGGUGUUCAUAGUGUCAAUAAUAGUUAUCACAGGUCAGUCACCAAAACAAAUCAGAGAUGGCUACAUAACAAACUUCUACUCCAUGCAGUCGUUGGGAGGACCAUGCGCCAAAUUAAACAGUUGAGAAAGGGACUGAAAGAUGUGAUGGUAUGGCCCCUGCUGACAUCUAGGCCGGAUGUUGUACCACUUCUUUUCCCCAAAAUGGCUGAAAUGCAGUUCACACCCCAGAUGCUCCUAGAAAAAAUCACAUGGCCAGUUGAGGACAGUGAUGAUGAAGACUUUGACUUAGACACCACCUGCCGA
Molecule: long non-coding RNA, 370 nt
Organism: Coregonus clupeaformis (lake whitefish)
Lineage: Eukaryota; Metazoa; Chordata; Actinopteri; Salmoniformes; Salmonidae
Exons: 3
Source: RefSeq, a predicted model, not a curated record